Molecule: ribosomal RNA, 170 nt
Filed under: Staphylococcus epidermidis
Lineage: Bacteria; Bacillati; Bacillota; Bacilli; Caryophanales; Staphylococcaceae
Description: partial 23S ribosomal RNA
Rfam family: Bacterial large subunit ribosomal RNA
Source: RNAcentral
GAUUAAGUUAUUAAGGGCGCACGGUGGAUGCCUUGGCACUAGAAGCCGAUGAAGGACGUUACUAACGACGAUAUGCUUUGGGUAGCUGUAAGUAAGCGUUGAUCCAGAGAUUUCCGAAUGGGGGAACCCAGCAUGAGUUAUGUCAUGUUAUCGAUAUGUGAAUUUAUCGA